Molecule: ribosomal RNA, 924 nt
Filed under: Triticum aestivum (bread wheat)
Lineage: Eukaryota; Viridiplantae; Streptophyta; Magnoliopsida; Poales; Poaceae
Description: partial small subunit ribosomal RNA
Source: RNAcentral
UGGGGAUCAAAAUCCCUAGAGGCAUCCAUUCCCAAAGGGGCCCUGGCCACAUCUCCAUCUCUCCCCCCUCACCACUUCUUCUUCCACCACCGGCCGCCGCCGCAGCCAGGCCGGCGUGGCGACGCGCCACCAGCACCACCACGCGCCAUCCACCACUCCAUCUCCACCACGCCUCCACCACCACCAUCCGCACCUCACAUCGCCACCAACACCACCAUCGCAUCUCCACCACCUCUGCUGCCCAUCGGCUGCUCCUCCUCUCUUCUCUCGAUGACCCUGCUGCUUCUCCCUUCUCCAACCUCCUGCUGUUGCCUCCUCUUCCCCAAGCCCCGCUGUUGCUUCUUCCUUGUUGCGCCCCUCCUUCUUCUUCCCCCUCUCCUUGCUGCUACUCCUUCCUCUCACGUCCCCCCUGCUGUUGCUCUUCUUGCACCGAUCUGAAGCUGCUCUCUCUCCAGCGCCCCUUUCUGCUUCUCCUCUUGCUACUGCUGCUGCCCCCAACCUCCUGCUGGUAUCUCUCUCUACUCCCCCUGCUACAUUUCUUCUCUGAACCUACCUGCUGCUUCUCUCUCUCUCUGAAUUGUUGUAGUACUAUGAUGUGCAAGACAGUGUACUGCAACCUGUUAAUUGUUCAGUUCAGAUGUUUGCUUGUUUAGUAUUAUUCUGUUGAUCUGUGAGUACUAAUCUUGUGGCUAGUAUAAUUUCGUUUCUGUUGUUACUUGUGUAAACUGAACCGUGGGGUAGUAUCCUAUUCGCAUAUGUGUGUUUUGUGUGUUGUGUAGUCCCUAUGUUAGUUUUGUACCUGUGAUAUAUAUCUUCACAAUAUAAUUGUUUGUGUUGUGAUAUAAUAUUGUCCCUAUCAUACAAUCUUGUUUCUUCCCUCUGUUGUAUGUUACCAAGAUGUAUAAAUGUUCAAGUCUUUUUAAU